This is a long non-coding RNA of Oryzias sinensis (Chinese medaka), 2748 nucleotides long. Lineage: Eukaryota; Metazoa; Chordata; Actinopteri; Beloniformes; Adrianichthyidae. The record is from Ensembl.
UGGCAGGGGUGCAGACACUCUUCCGUCUGCACAAACCCCAGCGUCAGCACCCCUCCUGACCAGACUGAGUGCUGCAGAGGGAGGGGAGGGCCAGCAGGGCAGCUGGGGCACCCUACCCCCAUCGCUCCUGUAAGUGCACCAGCCUUGGGAAACUCUGUGUCAGGGAUCCCCCAAACACUGGCACUAGGAGGCCCCCCAAAAGUCUGGCUUCAACCUCCCCCUGAUUACUACUGUCCCCUCCUUCCUCUUGUCUCCCUAAACCCCCCCCCCUCCCCCACUACUGCCACCACCUCUUUCUCAACCUAAUGUGAGACUGGGGGCCUGGGAAGGACUUCAAGUUCACGGCCAGACCUCCUAUUGAGCUGACAGCCUGACUGUUUGCUCAAUUCGGCUCCCUUUUCAGAGUCCACGCUCGAAGGGGGGGGGGGGCUUGAGAAAAGGCAGGAGGGGGGGGGGGGGGGGUUAGAUGGGACACCCCAGCACUGUGAUAGCUAUUCAUUCAGCCAGGGGAGACAAGUAAAAAGGGUAGCGAGAGUGAAGAGGAAUGGGGGUGGGUGGGGGGGGGGGGUAUAAAGAAAAAGCGAGGAAUCCAGGCACAAAGUUUGCUUUGAGGGGUGUGCGCCUCUCUCACACUCUUUUAGACUCUUAAUUACCGGCGCCUUCCACGUUUUCUUCCCUUUCUCUAACUACAUCCCCCUCCUCAUCCUCACGGCACAAACAGUCCCGAACACACAGAAAACAGUGAUGGCAAUCAUUCUCAUCAUCCUCUCCAUCCCAUGCUUUAUUAGGCCGCAUGCUGGGGCUGUAAAUUUACCAUUAACAAGCUUAUUCACUGUAGUCCCCUCCACAAAACAAGACCAUCAUGCCAAUAACUCAAACCGACACCAAUACACAAAACUGCCUUUUAUGCCACCAACCUUUUGCAGUCACAGACUCCCCCCACACAAAACCCCCCACUGUUUCCUCUACGGCUGCGCUCUCAGAAGCACCGUGUCGCUAAAUGCCAACUCGAAUGCGAUGCUUGCUAAUGGCUCAGAUAAAUGUUGGCAUUCCGGACGGGGGGGAGGAGGAGGACUCCAGAAUGGACAGAGCACACAAGCGGCGGACAGCAAGACUUCUUUGUUGCCUUUCAGCGGGGGAAAACAAGUAUGAAAGCGCUGCUGUCUGCACACAAGUCACCAGGGAUCCUUUCCUUGGCUGUGGGUGGCUGUGCAUUAUUUGACACGACCGUCAACCUGGACUGUUUGUGAACACCUCCUGGUGUUUUAACAGAGUAAACAUCUUUGUGGAUUGCAGGAACAUGCAGUCUUGUGCAGAUGAUGGGCAGCAUGAAGGGUUGGACACACUGCUCUAUAAUUGUGACUUUAUUUUCUAUUGGAGGUACAUCCCUGCAAGGUGUUGCUUUUGUCUUAUGUACCCGUAUGCAAUAAAUCAAGAAGCAGAAACUAAUACGUAGGCUCCGCUUACUGUAGGCUUUAUUGGAUUUAAGUUGUAGCCCAAGUUUGGUUCCGCUUUUGUUGUUGUUUUUGUUGUAGUUGCUAGGAUUCAAAAGACACGCGAAUGUGAGACUCACGACAGCAGCGAAUAAUACUGCACUGCGAUUGGACAGCUCCGUGUGUCAGAUGACACAAUGGCGAAGGAGUGAGCUGUCGUCUUUAUACUCUAUGCAACUGUUCUUUCUUAUUACCCCUUAUUCUCAAUCUUGCUUUGAGUUUGCAUUUUUAAUUGUAUUUUUGUUUGUUUUUGGGGCUAAUAGUUUUUUUUAGAUACUUCUCCCAAUUUUCUUUUUAUUAAAUCUUUUCUUGCUGGAGCCUACUUUGUCAAGGUGUGGAAAAUCCUAGUGUGUGUGUGUGUGUAACAGAUAUUCCAGUACAGCUUAGGUUUAUCAGUGCUGAACGUCACAUUUGCAGCUCGUUGAUUUAGCUAGACGGAGUAAACGUGGACUGGAAGGUUUAAUAUUGCUGGUGGUAGGAGUGUGUUGGAUCAGCAGGAAGUGCAAGGUGGCAGCAGGUAGACACAUACGCCAGGCUUCCCAGCAGGCUUUGAGAAGCAGCAAUUCCCUACAGUUACCUGCUUCACUGCAAUGAUACAUCUUUGGAUGAGACAUGACAAAUACAUUAGCUUCAAACACUGCCUUAAUAUCCUGUUCUUGACAUGAACACACACACUCACAGCCACACAUAUAUAUGCAUCAAAGCUUGUAUUAUCGCAGGCUAAUUUAUUCUGUAUUAAUUUUUGUGAAGUGCCGUUUUUUUAUUACAAUUGAUAAUCUAUGCAAAUCUUUCAAAUAUUACUUUAAACAAUCUAUGCAGUGUCUCUGCCACUGAUUCAAAGCAGACUAUUUUAGCUUAAUUUAAAAAAAAUGUAUUCUUUUGAUAAUCAUGCAGUGCUCGAGACAAUUACUUAUCUGCCUGGAUAAGCUUGAAAUUGUGUUUUUAAUCUCUGGCAAAAAGAGAGUCACUCAUUUGUAAUCAGUCCAGAGGCGUGAAAACCCUGAAUUAUGUUCUAAAACAAUUAAAUAUGUUGCAAGUACAAAGAAAUAUAUAUAUUUUUUUCAACUCUGUAUAUACAAACUCAAUAUGUGUAUAUUCAUCCUUGACUAUUUUGUAUAUGUGUAACAUUAUUUGUCCUAUGCAAUGUCACUGCCAGGAAUGUGCUCACCACAUGUGCCUUUUAUGCAAAAUUUUGUUGGAAUGUGAAUAAAAGUUUACAUUGAAAACAAUGCAAAUUUGAAAAAGUGUGUCUUUU